RNAcentral lists this ribosomal RNA (256 nucleotides) under uncultured bacterium. Its description in RNAcentral is "partial small subunit ribosomal RNA". It matches the Rfam family "Bacterial small subunit ribosomal RNA", at positions 26 to 285 of the family's 1533-position model. The record is from RNAcentral.
AGGACGAACGCUGGCGGCGUGCUUAACACAUGCAAGUCGAACGGUGAAGCCCUUCGGGGUGGAUCAGUGGCGAACGGGUGAGUAACACGUGAGCAAUCUGCCCUUGACUCUGGGAUAACUUCGGGAAACCGGAGCUAAUACCGGAUAUGACAUACGGCCGCAUGGUCUGUGUGUGGAAAGUAUUUAUGGUCAGGGAUGAGCUCGCGGCCUAUCAGCUUGUUGGUGGGGUAAUGGCCUACCAAGGCGACGACGGGUA